Molecule: ribosomal RNA, 883 nt
Filed under: uncultured Bacteroidota bacterium
Lineage: Bacteria; Pseudomonadati; Bacteroidota
Description: bacterial SSU rRNA
Rfam family: Bacterial small subunit ribosomal RNA
Source: RNAcentral
UUGAUUCUGGCUCAGGAUGAACGCUAGCGGCAGGCUUAACACAUGCAAGUCGAGGGGCAGCGCGGGGCAGCAAUGUUCUGGCGGCGACCGGCGGAAGGGUGCGUAACGCGUGAGCGACAUGCCCGUUGCCCGGGGACAACCGGUGGAAACGCCGACUAAUCCCCGAUGGGACGGAGGCCCUCAUGGGUCUCCGUUGAAAGUUACGGCGGCGACGGAUUGGCUCGCGUCCGAUUAGCUUGUUGGCGGGGUAACGGCCCACCAAGGCUACGAUCGGUAGGGGUUCUGAGAGGAAGGUCCCCCACAAUGGAACUGAGACACGGUCCAUACUCCUACGGGAGGCAGCAGUGAGGAAUAUUGGUCAAUGGGCGGAAGCCUGAACCAGCCAUGCCGCGUGCGGGAAGGAGGCCCUAUGGGCUGUGAACCGCUUUUGCCUGGGGGCAAUAAGGGCGUCGUGCACGUCCGAUGAGAGUACCAGGCGAAUAAGCAUCGGCUAACUCCGUGCCAGCAGCCGCGGUAAUACGGGGGAUGCGAGCGUUAUCCGGAUUCAUUGGGUUUAAAGGGUGCGUAGGCUGUGCGUCAAGUCAGGGGUGAAAUUCCGGGGCUCAACUCCGGGGCUGCCCUUGAUACUGUCGCGCUGGAGUGCGGAUGCCGCCGGAGGAAUGAGUGGUGUAGCGGUGAAAUGCUUAGAUAUCACUCAGAACACCGAUUGCGAAGGCAUCUGGCGAAUCCGUAACUGACGCUGAGGCACGAAAGCGUGGGGAUAGAACAGGAUUAGAUACCCUGGUAUUCCACGCCGUAAACGAUGAUGGCUAACCGCCGGCGACACACUGUCGGUGGCCAAGCGAAAGCGAUAAGCCAUCCACCUGGGGAGUACGUCGGCAAC